Molecule: long non-coding RNA, 2984 nt
Organism: Gasterosteus aculeatus aculeatus (three-spined stickleback)
Lineage: Eukaryota; Metazoa; Chordata; Actinopteri; Perciformes; Gasterosteidae
Source: Ensembl
ACUGAUUCCUGAAGAGCUGAUUAUAGCUGAUCAGCAACACCUGUGACACCUGCAGGAUGGGUAUAUGAAACCUGCCGUGUGGCUCAGAUCGUAUUUUCUGUUGGUGGCUGAAGUAAUGGGAGCGUUUUGGGCCUUGCUUGUUUUUGUGCUGACUGUCUGGUUCACCAAAGGCUCUGGUUGGCCAGUUGGUGGCACAAAUGUGAAUGGUAAUGGGCCGCAAAGGGCAAUGAGAGAGCUGUCUCCUAAUGAGCCCUCCAUAAAGAAGGCUCUUACGCUUCACCAGUCUGAGUCUGUGUUCCUGCGGAAGUCAAAAGAAGUCCAACUGGAAACUAACGAAGUGGAGGUUAAGGCAUCAGCUGCCUACCUGAAAGCUGUUGAACAUGCGCAUAACGACGGCGUUCCCAUCGGCGCCACGCUGGGCGACUACGGCGGCGCCCUGCUCAACGGCUCGCUGGGCGACUACGGCGGCUACGGCGGCGCCCUGCUCAACGGCUCGCUGGGCGACUACGGCGGCGGCUACGGCGACGCCCUGCUCAACGGCUCGCUGGGCGACUACGGCGGCGGCUACGGCGACGCCCUGCUCAACGGCUCGCUGGGCGACUACGGCGGCGGCUACGGCGACGCCCUGCUCAACGGCUCGCUGGGCGACUACGGCGGCGGCUACGGCGACGCUCUGCUCAACGGCUCGCUGGGCGACUACGGCGGCGGCUACGGCGACGCCCUGCUCAACGGCUCGCUGGGCGACUACGGCGGCGGAUACGGCGACGCCCUGCUCAACGGCUCGCUGGGCGACUACGGCGGCGGCUACGGCGACGCCCUGCUCAACGGCUCGCUGGGCGACUACGGCGGCGGCUACGGCGACGCCCUGCUCAACGGCUCGCUGGGCGACUACGGCGGUGGCUACGGCGACGCCCUGCUCAACGGCACACUGGCCGACUACAGCGGCUACGGCGGCUACGGCGACGCCCUUCUCAACGGCUCGCUGGGCGACUACAGCGGCGCCCUGCUCAACGGCUCGCUGGGCGACUACGGCGGCGCCCUGCUCAACGGCACGCUGGGCGGCUACGGCGGCGCCCUGCUCAACGGCACGCUGGGCGACUACGGCGGCGCCCUGCUCAACGGCACGCUGGGCGACUACGGCGGCGCCCUGCUCAACGGCACGCUGGGCGACUACGGCGGCGCCCUGCUCAACGGCACGCUGGGCGACGACGGCGGCGCCCUGCUCAACGGCACGCUGGGCGACGACGACGGCGGCGCCCUGCUCAACGGCACGCUGGGAGACUCUUUUACUCCAACGAUACCAAACUAAUAAGUUGGGUGGACCUUUUGGGGCACAUUGCUUUAGUUUGUCGUGUAACUUAAGGAUGUUUCUGCUUGUACCGCUGCUUUAAAUAAAAUGUUUGCCUCAACUUUUGGUGAAGAAGCUGAAUUAGUGACUUUCAUUCAUUUGUAAUACUCGUUUGAGGGGUACAAUUUUCUAUUCAAAUACUUUCUCCACAAAGUUCAGGUUUAACGUAAUUUCCAGUUAAAUAUUUUAUCCAAGUCAUGCCUUGAAUAUUGUAUAAUUUCUGUUUGGCUGCAUGGUCUAUCCCGCAAACAUUUGUUGCUGCGCUAGCAUCCUGUUAAGGCUAGUGCAUAGCCAGGGUCAAGUACUCUUCACAGGAAGUCAUGUGAUGACAUUCUGUGACCGUUCUCUUUUGUGAGGUUUGUCAGCGCUUUGUGUACAUGGAGCCUAAACCUGAAUGCUACACGAUACCAUAUUUUGAGGAAGUAUUUUCUAUAUUUUGAAUACAAAAUGGCACAAGUAUUUUGUAUUCGUUGUUAAUUGAAGGGUAUUUUGUAACUUAUAUUUUGAUGUGUUUUUGCCUAUCCCUGCAUAUAACCCAACCAAAAAGUAAAGCAUGCAGGGAAGUUUGUCGUAGAUUUGCCUAAAUAAAGCACCAGGUUGACUGGAUUUUUUUUAAACAAUUGUAGAUUUUUGAGGUUUACUUAGAGUAAUAUCUAAUGCACUUGUGCAAAGAAGACAUGCAGAAAAGAUUUUAGAUAUUUGGGAUUUUGGUCUAAAAGCAACCCUGUUUCAGCUUUUACUUAAUGUAACUUUGUCAGAUUCUGUUUCUUCGAGAUCUCUACCAUCUUUAAAGAACAUAUCCCAUGAUGGUUUCUCCUGUGUCAUGCAUGCUCUGUCGUUCACACUUUCUUUCCGAAUCAGAUGUAUGUAACUGCAGUUGUAAGGUUCAAUAACCUUCAGUGUCCAUUCUGCAUGUUUCUAAGUCGCUCAAAUUUAUAAAGCUUGAGCCCCCUGGGGCUAAGAAAGUCCACAGAGAGGGAGAGAGAGGGAGACAUUAUCUGUGCAAUUUCAAGCUGUGUCCAUCAUGUGGCAGUGUGCAGCUUCUUAGGCGCUACUGUCACAAUGGAACAGAGCCAGUCAAAGUCAGCCUAAUCCCCCACACACACACGCACAGACACUCCAUGUCUGGUUUUUAUCUCUGUGUGCAGCUUGGAGCUUACAGCGUGCCCCCCCUGCGCCCCCCCCCCCCCCCCCGCAUCCUCUUGCAUCUCUUUGAUGCCUCUCUGGAAACACAGGACCUGCUAAUGGAGACAAGGAAAAGGCUUCUCACUACACUUCCUUCUCGUCAUUCGAGCCAAUUCAUUACUAUAAUGUUCGAAAGGAGGGGAGAAAAAGGAAGGAAAAAAUUAAACUGUUUUUUUUUUUUGGCAGAAUAAUGCUGUACAAUGACGGAUGAACGUAACAAAUUGUAUUGAUAUUGAAGACCUGCAGAAGAAGAACAAGGACUAGUACAUUUUCUUUGUCUGUGUAAAUAUGAAGAAAAUGUGAUUUUUGUUGGUUUAUUUAUUGAGGUAGAUGGUCUCUCGUUCUCACUUUCUUCUGUUUUUUUUCUUUUCUUAUACGUUCAUUUUGAUAAAACAAACCUCGGGUGGAAAUUUGUCUUUACUGUAAUGUAAUCUGCCUCCUAGAAAAAAAG